AGCGCAAAUUGCGCUUUCGGGAUAUUCCUGGAAGCACGCCUCUUUGAGUAUCGGUUCAAUACAAUCUCAGCGGCUUAUUGAUUUCAACGUCAAUAUAGCGUCGGUUGGAGAAUGAGAGUCUAGACUACUCGUUAGUCAAGUCUCUUUAAAACUAUUGAGCUUGAUUCGCCAGAGACCUCCAAUCUUAUAGAUUGGAUAGCUACUUCAUUCUUGAGGUUGAGCUUCUUAUGGUGACGUGGAUAAUAUCAUCUUUACGAUGUUCUUGAAACGUCUAUGCUGUAAUGUUGUUCCUUCAGUUAAUAGAAUGUUGAAGCGAAAUCUUUGGCUUGAGUCGAGUGUUGGGAAUUAACGAACUCAUACCGAAUUAGAUCUCAAAUGAAGCGAGAAGACCCCCUGAAUUUAA
RNAcentral lists this unclassified non-coding RNA (403 nucleotides) under uncultured Rhizaria. RNAcentral's name for it is "sequence contains 5.8S rRNA gene, ITS2, 28S rRNA gene". The record is from RNAcentral.